GAUGAACGCUGGCGGCGUGCCUAAUACAUGCAAGUCGAGCGAACAGACGAGGAGCUUGCUCCUCUGACGUUAGCGGCGGACGGGCGAGUAACACGUGGAUAACCUACCUAUAAGACUGGGAUAACUUCGGGAAACCGGAGCUAAUACCGGAUAAUAUAUUGAACCGCAUGGUUCAAUAGUGAAAGACGGUUUUGCUGUCACUUAUAGAUGGAUCCGCGCCGCAUUAGCUAGUUGGUAAGGUAACGGCUUACCAAGGCAACGAUGCGUAGCCGACCUGAGAGGGUGAUCGGCCACACUGGAACUGGGACACGGUCCAGACUCCUACGGGAGGCAGCAGUAGGGAAUCUUCCGCAAUGGGCGAAAGCCUGACGGAGCAACGCCGCGUGAGUGAUGAAGGUCUUCGGAUCGUAAAACUCUGUUAUUAGGGAAGAACAAAUGUGUAAGUAACUAUGCACGUCUUGACGGUACCUAAUCAGAAAGCCACGGCUAACUACGUG
RNAcentral lists this ribosomal RNA (497 nucleotides) under uncultured bacterium. RNAcentral describes it as "partial 16S ribosomal RNA". It matches the Rfam family "Bacterial small subunit ribosomal RNA", at positions 28 to 507 of the family's 1533-position model. The record is from RNAcentral.